GAUUCUGGCUCAGGAUGAACGCUGGCGGCGUGCAUAACGCAUUCAAGUCGAACGAUGAAGGGACUUCGGUCCUGGAAUAGUGGCGGACGGGUGAGUAACGCGUGAGCAACCUGCCUUGCAUUGGGGGAUAACGUUUGGAAACGAACGCUAAUACCGCAUAACGUAUAAAUAUCGCAUGUUAGAUAUACCAAAGAUUUAUUGAUGCAAGAUGGGCUCGCGUCCGAUUAGAUAGUUGGUGAGGUAACGGCCCACCAAGUCGACGAUCGGUAGCCGGACUGAGAGGUUGAACGGCCACAUUGGAACUGAGAAACGGUCCAGACUCCUACGGGAGGCAGCAGUGGGGAAUAUUGGGCAAUGGGCGAAAGCCUGACCCAGCGAACCGCCGCGUGAGGGAAGAAGAUCUUCGGAUUGUAAACCUCUUUCAGCAAGGAAGAAGAAAGUGACGGUACUUGCAGAAGAAGCCACGGCUAACUACGUGCCAGCAGCUGC
This 489-nucleotide ribosomal RNA is filed under the name uncultured bacterium. Its description in RNAcentral is "bacterial SSU rRNA". It matches the Rfam family "Bacterial small subunit ribosomal RNA", at positions 15 to 518 of the family's 1533-position model. The record is from RNAcentral.